UACAGAGGUCCCAAGCGUUGUUCGGAUUCAUUGGGCGUAAAGGGUGCGUAGGUGGUGCCGUAAGUCAGGUGUGAAAUCUCGGGGCUCAACCCCGAAACUGCACUUGAUACUGCGGUGCUCGAGGACUGGAGAGGAGAUUGGAAUUCAUGGUGUAGCAGUGAAAUGCGUAGAUAUCAUGAGGAAGACCAGUGGCGAAGGCGGAUCUCUGGACAGUUCCUGACACUGAGGCACGAAGGCCAGGGGAGCAAACGGG
RNAcentral lists this ribosomal RNA (253 nucleotides) under uncultured bacterium. RNAcentral's name for it is "partial 16S ribosomal RNA". It matches the Rfam family "Bacterial small subunit ribosomal RNA", at positions 524 to 776 of the family's 1533-position model. The record is from RNAcentral.